AUUGAACGCUCGCGGGAUGCUUUACACAUGCAAGUCGAACGGCAGCGCGGACUUCGGUCUGGCGGCGAGUGGCGAACGGGUGAGUAAUGUAUCGGAACGUGCCCAGUAGCGGGGGAUAACUACGCGAAAGCGUAGCUAAUACCGCAUACGCCCUACGGGGGAAAGCAGGGGAUCGUAAGACCUUGCACUAUUGGAGCGGCCGAUAUCGGAUUAGCUAGUUGGUGAGGUAACGGCUCACCAAGGCGACGAUCCGUAGCUGGUUUGAGAGGACGACCAGCCACACUGGGACUGAGACACGGCCCAGACUCCUACGGGAGGCAGCAGUGGGGAAUUUUGGACAAUGGGGGCAACCCUGAUCCAGCCAUCCCGCGUGUGCGAUGAAGGCCUUCGGGUUGUAAAGCACUUUUGGCAGGAAAGAAACGUCGCGGGCUAAUACCCCGUGGAACUGACGUACCUGCAGAAUAAGCACCGGCUAACUACGUG
This 483-nucleotide ribosomal RNA is filed under the name uncultured bacterium. RNAcentral's name for it is "partial 16S ribosomal RNA". It matches the Rfam family "Bacterial small subunit ribosomal RNA", at positions 30 to 507 of the family's 1533-position model. The record is from RNAcentral.